RNAcentral lists this microRNA precursor (98 nucleotides) under Chlorocebus sabaeus (green monkey). RNAcentral describes it as "miRNA (ENSCSAG00000026048.1)". The record is from RNAcentral. Lineage: Eukaryota; Metazoa; Chordata; Mammalia; Primates; Cercopithecidae.
CGUCCGCCUCGGCCUCCCAAAGUGCUGGGAUUACAGGCGUGAGCCACUGCACCCGGCCUGACCUGUGUAGAGUUUUGAAUCCCAGUAAGUCUGUUUCC